Molecule: transfer RNA, 57 nt
Filed under: Tenacibaculum soleae
Lineage: Bacteria; Pseudomonadati; Bacteroidota; Flavobacteriia; Flavobacteriales; Flavobacteriaceae
Description: tRNA-Glu
Rfam family: tRNA
About the family: Transfer RNA (tRNA) molecules are approximately 80 nucleotides in length.
Source: RNAcentral
CGUCUAGGGGUUAGGACGCCAGGUUUUCAUCCUGGUAACACGGGUUCGAUUCCCGUA